GAUGAACGCUGGCGGCGUGCCUAAUACAUGCAAGUCGAGCGAACAGAUGAGGAGCUUGCUCCUCUGACGUUAGCGGCGGACGGGUGAGUAACACGUGGAUAACCUACCUAUAAGACUGGGAUAACUUCGGGAAACCAGAGCUAAUACCGGAUAAUAUAUUGAACCGCAUGGUUCAAUAGUGAAAGACGGUUUUGCUGUCACUUAUAGAUGGAUCCGCGCCGCAUUAGCUAGUUGGUAAGGUAACGGCUUACCAAGGCGACGAUGCGUAGCCGACCUGAGAGGGUGAUCGGCCACACUGGAACUGAGACACGGUCCAGACUCCUACGGGAGGCAGCAGUAGGGAAUCUUCCGCAAUGGGCGAAAGCCUGACGGAGCAACGCCGCGUGAGUGAUGAAGGUCUUCGGAUCGUAAAACUCUGUUAUUAGGGAAGAACAAAUGUGUAAGUAACUAUGCACGUCUUGACGGUACCUAAUCAGAAAGCCACGGCGAACUACGU
This 496-nucleotide ribosomal RNA is filed under the name uncultured bacterium. RNAcentral describes it as "partial 16S ribosomal RNA". It matches the Rfam family "Bacterial small subunit ribosomal RNA", at positions 28 to 506 of the family's 1533-position model. The record is from RNAcentral.